UCUGGAGAAGCUUUGAAACAUGUUUCUCUUAUUUUGUAUCUUGUCUUCUCUCCCUGGUGUUUUGUCACAAGCACAACUUACACAACCCAGCUCAGAAAUGAAAAAACCCGGAGAGAGUGUAACAUUAUCAUGUAGAGCAUCUGGUUACACGUUCACCAGCUUUGCUGCUAUGCACUGGGUUCAACAGGCUCCAGGUGCAGGAUUGAAACACAUUGGAUACAUUAAUACCAAUACUGGAAACGCUUAUUAUUCUUCAUCAUUCCAAGGAAGAUUCACAAUAACAAAAGACGAUUCACUUAGUACAUCAUAUCUAAAAAUUGACAGGCUGACAUUGGAGGACACUGCAAAUUACUACUGUGCAAGAGACACAGUGACAAAACCAAAUAAACAGACAGUACAAAAACAUCAGAAAGGAUAG
This is a non-coding RNA of Bufo gargarizans (Asiatic toad), 418 nucleotides long. The record is from the annotation of a RefSeq genome assembly. Lineage: Eukaryota; Metazoa; Chordata; Amphibia; Anura; Bufonidae.